Molecule: unclassified non-coding RNA, 1300 nt
Filed under: Bombus terrestris (buff-tailed bumblebee)
Lineage: Eukaryota; Metazoa; Arthropoda; Insecta; Hymenoptera; Apidae
Description: misc RNA ENSBTSG00005023689.1
Source: RNAcentral
AAUUUGCUAUUUCGCAUUUCGUUCUUCGUGUUAGUGUUGCACACACUACUAUACCGACGAAUUCAGAACGAUAAGCCAGCGAUAUACGAGCACGUAAGUUGACGUAAACAUAGAAUGUUUGUUUCCCUUUGCUAGAUGGCACUGUACAGAUUAUCGAAUAUUCGAUUGAACAGUGUUCGACUAUCUCGUGAAGGUAGUAGUAUCUUACCUCCUAUAAUUUUCCACAGUAGAUACUUACAAUAUAAAUAUUCAAUAAACACAUCAAAGAACGAAAAAUCAAUUUUUUUAUUUGAACCUGGGCCAUUUUUCGACUAGAGUAAGAGAGUUCAAGACCGUACGACGACAUACGUUUCCAAGAAUCUUCCGUAAACAUUCCCAUAAUAACCGUGACUGUAGUUAAACAUAUCAUCGCUUGGGCCGCAAUGCGCUUAAUCGUUCUAGUGCUCGUUCGAGCAAGAAGAGGAGCGAAGAAAAAAUAAGGUGGGGAAGAAUUAUCUAAGUCAACGCAUCUUUCGCGUUUGCCGUGUGUAAUAUAUAUUUCGUUGACGUCGAUUUGCUGGUUACUUUGCAACUGAAAUCAAUUGUCUCCUGUAAAGAUGCCAGCAUAAACAAGACUCGCGACCAAGCGUCCCUUCUCAUAUUUCUAGAUCAUGACAACAAUCGCUUGCUCCAUCAGAGUUUUUUUAUUUCUCCAUUCAUAUGACAGAGCAAGGGGAGUUUGUUUUACAGAGAACGAAUUGAUUUCUCUGUAACUUUCUCCUCGAAAAAUUUGAAAGGUAGGAAUUUAUAAUAUUAUACAAAUAAAUUGUAAUUACAAAUUAUAUAAAUUAUUGGCCUCUCGCCAUAACUCUAAUGGGAUGCCCUAAAUGUUUAAAGUAGGACAUCAGAAAAAAUCUCUCGUACGUGACAUUCACUUUCAAACCUUGUCAAACUUUCAAGUUAACGACAGUGAUACUAUCAUGUAGUAUGAGAAUGAUCGAUACUUGUAGAACAAGAAUCGAAUGGUACUAAUUGAAAAGCAUGGUGGUAAAGUCCGAUUCGCGCGGGACGAAGAGUGUCGAUCAGACAAUGACCUCGACAACGUGUUUCUAAAGGAGUCAGCCAGCAGGAGACAAUGGAUAUAUAAUAUCGCCUAUAAUUAGCCUCGUUAAAGCUGUCUCUAAUAAUAAGCAAAGCAGCCAGAUGCAAAACCGUGAGCGGCGAUAAUCUGUCGGUGUACUUAAUGGAUAUUAAUAAAAUGCGCGAGUUAUCUUGCAGCCACAAACACGUUUAAUGCUUAUCAACAUGUGCAACUAGGGAA